GAUGAACGCUGCCUGUGUGCCUAAUACAUGCAAGUCGAUCGAACACACGAGGAGCUUGCUCCUCUGACGUUAGCGGCUGACUGGUGAGUCACACGUUGAUAACCUACCUAUAAGACUGGGACAUCUUCGGGCAACCGGAGCUAAUACCGGAUAAUAUAUUGAUCCGCUUUGUUCAAUAGUCAAAGACGGCUUUGCUGUCACUUAUAGAUGGAUCCGCGCCGCCUUAGCUAGUUGGUAAGGUAACGGCUUACCAAGGCGACGAUGCGUAGCCGACCUGAGAGGGGGACCGUCCGCGCUGGAACCGGAAAAAGGUCCAGACUCCUACGGGGGGCAGCAGGAGGGAAUAUUCCGCAAUGGGCGAAAGCAUGACGGGGCAGCGCCGCGUGAGUGGUGAAGGUCUUCGGUUCGUAAAACUCUGUUAUGAGGGAAGAACAAAUGUGUAAGUAACUAUGCACGUCUUGACGGUACCUAAUCAGAAAGCCACGGCUAAAUACGUG
This 497-nucleotide ribosomal RNA is filed under the name uncultured bacterium. RNAcentral's name for it is "partial 16S ribosomal RNA". It matches the Rfam family "Bacterial small subunit ribosomal RNA", at positions 28 to 507 of the family's 1533-position model. The record is from RNAcentral.